This is a long non-coding RNA of Pipra filicauda (Wire-tailed manakin), 12412 nucleotides long. RefSeq lists it as uncharacterized. The transcript has 22 exons. The record is from RefSeq and is a predicted model, not a curated record. Lineage: Eukaryota; Metazoa; Chordata; Aves; Passeriformes; Pipridae.
GGAGGGGCGGCGGGGCCGCUCCCGGUACCCAACCCCGCGGCGGGGACACAGCGCCUGGGCCACGGGGCGGUCGGGCCUGGAAGGGGCAUCUCGAGAUCAUCCAGUCUAAUCCUACUCUUAAAGCAGAGUCACUUAGAGCAGGUUGCACAGGAUAGAGGGAGAAGGAGGCUCCUCCUUCAGGAAUGGUCAGGCCACGAGAGAAGCGUUUACCUUAUGAAAGGGAAAGAACCCUUGUCGGUGUUGUAGAUAGGAAAACCUAUCAAUGCUCGGCCCGUCCUUUUCUAUUCUUGUUCUUGUUCUUUUGUCGUUGCAGAAGACUCGUGAUUUCACGGUCUUUGAUUUUCCUACUCACUGCCCUCUUUUGCUAUCCCAUCUAUGUUGUACUUUACCCUUCUAUUUUUCCUACGUUUAUAUCUAUAUCUGUAGGAUAUAUAUAUAUAUUAUAUAGGAGUAGGGAAUUCCCUAAAUUCCCCCAUAGCUCUGUGUGCUGUGGGCUAAGACUCUUAUCCACUGGAUUCAUAGUUUCAGCUGUCCCUGACAAGUGUGGUGGAGGUAUUUGUCUCUCUGCAAAAUAGCUGCAGAGUGUUGGAGUUCUCUUUGCUGGUCUAAAUUUUGUCAACUUUUAUUUGCGGGUUUUUUUAAAAAAAAUUGAGAUCUAAGUGUAUGUGAUUGUCUCCUUGCUAUGUUACAUUUUUUAAGUGCAGCCAGAUGGCAGUGAAACCUUUGCUAUGCAGUUCAGUUACAAAAAAAUAUUUUGAACCAUGUCCCAGUUUGUGCUUCCGUUUAUUUCUGUUCAGUAUUUUCAGUCUAAAUAAUAUGAGGUGUUUGAAUGAGAAUGCAUAUGUAUCACAGAUCUGUGUGAAAACACUACUUAAAAUAUGGCUUCUGAUGUAAGCCAUCCGCAAAUUGAAGUUUAUAAGAAUUGAAUUGUAUCAAGUGAAUAUCUAAUCAUGAAUUUUUUUUUAAUGUAAGCAGAACUUUAUAGAAGUUACAACCACAUCCUGCAUUAUAGUGUAGAAAAAUUUUAUGAAUGGCCAGGCUUGAUGAGGCAGACUGGGUUCUAAACUGUGCUUAAGGUAGCCUGGAAGUCCAUGAAUAAUAGAUAGGAGGACUCAUCCAAAAAUAUUAUUAAGGAGAAAGGUCUCGACUGAGUGACACUUUUUUGCCCCACGUCUUUACAAGAAAAAAAAAAAACAACAAAAAAACAAUGCUUGGAGUCUGGGCAAGUUUGCCUUGGUCCUGGGAGCGUGUUGCUUGCUCUGUAGAUAGUCAGUUGGCCAACCUUCGUGCAUUCUUGGUUGCUGAUUAGUCCUGCUCUGCGUUGGGCAUUUCUUCCUGACUUUGGAAGAUAAAGCUGAAAUAAACUGGAAUUAUUUACCUUUUUAUCUCGAUUGAGAGCAGGAGUGGAGGCUGCUUUGUUGUCCACAGAAAGAAACACAGAGCUUCUUUCGGAGCUAAUAAAAAAAAUUCUCUCCGAUGAAGUUUUGGUGUUAAAAUGAGUAUUUUUAUUAGGAGAAAACUAUUGCUUUAAGUGAGGUGUUUCCCAGCCCACUCUCACUUAGAACAGCUGUCUCUCUCACAGUGAUUAAGGUCUGUAAUUUUAAAGGCUGUUAUGAUGAGUGUUUACAAUGAAGCUCUAUUUUUGAUUGUGUGUUUUGCUGUACAGUGUGGGGGCUGUGGAAUUUUGCCAUUGCUUUUUACUGCAUUCCAGACAACCUUGGCGUUUUAUUUUGUUUGAAACUGAAUUUCCUCUGAUGAAAUUCCAGCAGCGGCAUGACUGUGGGCUGUUGCUCUUGUUAUUUGUGGAGAAUGUGAACUACAGCUCCCUGUAUCUGUUGUUUCCAUUUUGCUUUGCAGAGUCAAGGCUGGUGUGAGAUGUUCCCUCAGCAGCACUGGCCACACAGUCAUGGUGGGUCACACAGCUGCCAGGGGGCUGGGUCAGCCAGGCACCAGCAUCAACACGUGUCUAAAACGGUGGCCUGAUGUCUGCUGAGGCACACUGUGACAAAACCUUGACUUCCUCAUCUAUAACUCAUUUAGCAAAGAGCUGCAGCACUUCAAGGGUUCACUGACCUUCUGCCAGAAGUUGCAAAGAGGUAGCAAGGGAGUGAGAGCAAGAGGUAGCAAGAGUGUGGAGUGAUCCACACUCACUUCAUUGUAGUCCAGUGGCAGCCAAACAACCAGAAGCAGAAGCCUGAGGGAGACCCCUGAACUUCAAGCGGAAAAGGCUGAGGGUCACUCAAAUUCUGUUCUCCCAGCUUUGCUGAUAAGUCAGGGACCUCUACCUGAGGGGAGGUGACAAACAGGUGAGGGGAGUUAAAUCAGUCAGUUACAGCUAAAACUCUGCAGCUGUUUGCCCUCGUCUACAACUUCAGUGCUAGUUCUUGUUACCUGUUGCCAUAUCUCCUGCUUGUAAACUGCUCAUCAGUUGCUGAAACUGCUUUUGCCGUGAGGAUCUUGAAAUACCACAUGGAAUCAUAGAAGAAGAGGGAAAAGAUGAUGAAUGUCCAGGUUUUCUGAGAAUUAAGGGCAGCCUGUUAUAUUUUGUCUAUCCAGGAAGGCUUUUGAUAGGACUCUUCAAAGAUGUAAUGAAAAUUGCAGAGGUUUAAGGCUGGUGAAAAUUACUGUGCAUGUGGCUGGAGCUUUGUACCUUGUGAUUAUGAUGAUUAAGUGGGAACUCCUUUGUGUGUGAAGUGUGAUAGCAGCAUGUUCUUUGCAGUGUGACUUGCAUAGCUGCAGUUUAUCUUCACAGUGGAGUGCCUUUUUGGUUAGAAAACUUUUCUGCUUGCACUGUUGAGUAGCUGAUUUAAAAUUAAAUAAACACCCCCACAAAAGUAAUCUCUGUUGGGGACUGAAAAAUCUAGUGAAAGGCACAUUGGAAGAAUGAUAUUCUGGACAGCAUAAUCUGGACUAUGCUCUAGGGGUUAUGUGAUCAAGCUGAACAGUUUACCAGUGGUUGUAAAAAGAUAUAAGGAAAGCAUAGUCUCUGAACUGUGAUGAAAUGCCUUCUGUGAUACCUGUCAGAGCUCCACUGACAUUAGGAGGGAAAGGUAAGAUUCACUGAUGAGAGAGACAAUAGUGGAUCACUUUAACAGGCCCUUAACUGUGCAGGAUGCCUGGACUUUUGAAGAAAAUUAAAAAUAUUCUUUGUUCUUGCUUCAUAGCAACAGUAUUUUCACACUUUAAUGUCCCUGGUCACCUUAUCUAUGCUUGCUUUUGUUGUGGCUGAUCAAAUCAACCCUAAAUUAUAUAAACCUACAGAGCUAGUAGUGUGAUAUAAGCUCAAAAUGUACUAGACAGUAUUAGAGCUGUAUGUUUUCUAGAGAUGUCAAAUGUGUAAUUAGAAUUUAGUUACUAACAUGAUGAUUAAAAUUCAGCACUUGUUUUAUGCGUAAUUUAUAUAGAAGUGUUGCUUACAGAGUGAGAAAUGAGGUAGGUGGACUAACAAAAUUUUGCAAUCAAAGUUGCAAUUUAAGAUAGUCCAUAAUUAGCGUGCUCUCCAAAUUGGUCAUGCACACACUUCAGGAAUUAUAGUGAGGAAUAAGAAAUGCUGCUGUGUUUAAAUUACUUGUGAAUUUGUGGAAAUAAUACUUUCAGGUAGUUAAGAACUGUUGCAUUCACAGUUUGUGCUACUCAUUAUAAAUCCCAUAACACUGUUGUGUGGAUACAUCUUGUAAUUAAUCACUGUAGUUCAAGCAAGGAAUUUUAGAGGAAUGUUUAUGUUAGUACUUAGUUUUUGAUGACUGUUCACUUAGAAAAGUACCUCUUGGGGUUUAUUGUUGCAAUCCCCACAUCACUGUGUUUGUGAGAGAAAAGUAUGAAUAGUAUUGAAAGUGCCAUUGCUGGUUUAUUUUGUGCUCAUUCUCUUUUUGGAUCUGCUUAGGUCCCCCAAAACAGUUUAGGUCAAUGUUCCCUGUAGAUUGAGAAUGACAGUACUUGGGAAUACUUAGGAAACAAUCCCCUCUCAUGUACAUAAUUAAAUGGCUUAAUAGAGGUGUAUAAUUCCUCCAGGUCCUUUAAUGGACCGUGGUAAGAAACACACAAAAGGCCUAAGUGGAGCCUCCCUAAAAGUUCUUUUCUUUGCAUUGCCUGGGUGCCACAUGCAGAUUACACCUGUGUGGUGUCUGAAGUGAGAUGAAAAGGAUGGUGGCCAUUGCAGUUCUACAAAGCUGGAAGGACCUGAGAGCAUCUUUCAUGGAGACGAUAUGGUUCAAUCAUCUCUUCAAAGAAUUUCCAGCUGAAACAGGAAUUACAAAGGAGGCCUUGCUGCAGGAGACCUGAGGGAGUUUCUCUUGUGUCAGUGUGUCUUUCUCUGAGCACUUUGUGCUGACAGACCUCACUAGGAAGUGAAAUAGGAGACUGGGCACAGGCUGGACUUUAUGGCCAGGAAGUCAUGAGUCUGUAGAUCUUCCUGAUACCUGUGGGAGUUGCAUGCACAGCCAGAUGUAAUAGUCUCUGCAGGUGAAAAUUCUGAAAAUACAUGUCUGUGUACAAGCAUGGCUUCAGAUAUUGAGUGUGCUGGCUUUUUUGAAGAAUCCACAGAUGCCCCUUUUUCCUUCUUCAAAAUCAUUUUCUUUAAUGGUGGCUUCCAGUGCCAGUCUCUCCUGCUCCAGCUUCUCUAAUUCCUCUGUAUAUUGGAAAAGGUCUCAGAAGAGCAUGUUUAUCCUCAGAAUUAGCACUCUAACAGUUUUGGAGGAACCACUGCAAAGGGAGCUGAAUUACUUGCCAAACCCUAACUCUGCAAAUCAGUGACAAAGCCGAAAAUGGAGCCUGGGUGUCAGUGUUGUUUAAAUAUAUAUUACAUUUGGCACGAAGACUUCAACUAAAUUUUGUGUCUUUGAAGUAAAACUGAGUAUAAGGAAAUGGAUAGUUUAAUUUUACCUGGAAGACUUUGGGUGCGCUGACAAGAGAUGCUAGAGCUGAUGACAGAGUAGCUGAAAAGAUGCCAGCUGUGAUGAGAGGACCAAAGCCAGACACCAUGCUCAUCACCUUUAUGAAGAAAAGAAGGUAAAAAGAAGAGUCAGUCAUCACCUUUAUGAAAAAAAAAAGGAGAAAGACCCCAUUACUUCUCACUUGAUUUUUCACUCGACUAUUUUUGGAUACUUUUUUUAAAGAAGUCAGAACUCUGUUUUUUGUACCACGACACAAACCUUUAACAGUGACCACAGCACCCCUGAGGUAAAAUCACAUCCAGGUGUCAAGAGCAGUGAGGUGAGUUGCUCAUCUAACAUUUCCUGAAGUCUCUGUUAAGUUUAAGCUUUCAGUUUGAAGAUGUUACAGCAUAUACUGCUGCAUGGUACUUGUUGAAAGAGGAGAUAAAGACUUUACCAGAGUGCUAGGAAGGCUAGUGAUGGGCAGUAUGAAGAUAUUAUGGAAUGCAGGUGAUUUUUGCCUUUCAUUAUUCCUAUAAUUCCUUCCUUUUUUAGAUAAAAGUGGUUGUCCUGUUGCAGUUAGUUGUCUGUAAAUAACGGGUUUGAAUGUUUGUACUUAUGUAUUCGUGUAUUGCUUAUGAUUAUACAUAUUAUGUCAUUAGAACCUGAAAAUUAUUCAUCAGCCCGUAAUCACAUGGCUGACUUGCACAUCUGGAAAAAUCAUAGCCUAGGCCACAGGCAGAUGAUCCAUUGCAGCUCAUUCCAGGUACAAUUGUAUCAUUGAUGUUCCCAGUAGCAUCUCGUACAACACAGGAGGCUGUGGAAACAAUCAUAUAUUAUUAUUUUCAUUCCUUGUGACAUUGGAAGAAUGUUCUUGCCAUUUGACUCUUAAUCUGCACACAUUUUGUCCAACUGCUACCUUUGACUCAUCCCAAGAGCAACGUUUUGUGUUGGGCAGAGAUUACUACCCUGUUCUAUGACUUAGGUUAUCAUGGUGUCUGUAGGCAAAUAUUUCCUUCUGUUACUUUUAGAAUAAUCAGCCAGUUGACUAGUGAGGAUUAGCAUAUUUCUGAGAUUAGGCAAGACAGAAAUCAACAAUAAAUUAACUAACUCAGAAAAUAUAUUGUCCUCUUGUCACUACUUUUACAAGUGCCAGUAUUCAAAGGAAACAGGUCAGUGAGGGUCUUGGGUCUAGGGAUACACAUUUUUCUGUUUAACAAGGACACGCAAUUGCUUUAGAGACCCAGAUCCUCAGCUAUUCAAAUUGUCAUAGCCCUACUGAUACCAAUAUGAUGAAAAACAGGAGAAAUUGCCUAUAUUCUUUUUAUGUUUAUUGAUAUUCAUGUUGUCUUUAUUUGCUUGCCACCAGAAACGAGAAAAAACACGUGGAGGCAACUUGGAGUGCUGAUCUCAACAUCCUUAGUGGCCAAAAUGGGAAAUUUAGAUCCAAAUAAUGCAGUGACCUGAGCUGAGGCUUGAGUCAAGCAUUCUGCCUUUUGCAUAAAGUACAAGAACAACAAAAGUCAAGAAGACUUGAGAGUCAUCUCCCAGAAAAGGAAGUACUCUGCAGGGCUUUCAUGCAGGAUUGAGGUUAUUGAAACAUGCUUUUAAAUGAUACAAUAACCCAAAUCUAACUGCGGUAAUUUCUGUAAAUAGCCACAAUGCUUAUGAGAGAAGAUGUGAACUGAUGUUUUCAAUUAAUAAAUCAGCCUACAGAUAGUAUUAUGAAGUUAAUGAAAUACGUACUUUCAGAUCUCCUGAGAUAUUGGCUCCUGCAAGAAUGCCAGUGGCAGCUGGGAAAAAAAUGGCAAACACCGAAAAAAAUCCUUCUCCACUUCUGAAAUCUGGUCCAAAGUUUUCUGCAAAUAUUGAUGCUGCAAAUACAGCGGUGAUGCCGAGAAGACAGACAACAGUUAUGGUGCCUAUGAUUCUGAUGUCAUUGGACUCAUCUACUAUCAGAGUAUCACUCUCCUGAAAGCAGUGAGAAAUGUUAAUAGUACCGGUGUUUCUCUGCCCAACUGGUGGGAUCAAGUAACAAGCAAAAUCAUUUACUCGUCUUCCAAGGAGUGGCUGAAAUGUAAGAAGUGUUAUAAAGAAGGCAUUAAACUGAAGGCAUCCACUGAUGUGCAUCAGUAUUUAAAAUGAGAGGAAGAGGUGUCUCCAUGCUCAGUUUGUUGAAGGAUGUCCAACCUGGAAUGCUCUGAAUAGGAAAGACCAGCUGAAAGCCGUGCUCUCUCCAUUAGCCAUUCUCUCCACUGAGCCAGUGCUCACAGCAAUGUUCUGGAGAAUCACACAGAAAACAAACACGGUUUUGUGCAAAGCAGAGGACACCUGGCUGCAUAAGAGAGACACAGGAGAAAGGAAUUCCAAAGAAGAUCGAGUUUUACUGCCUCUGGAGUAGAGAGCAAUAUUCUGCUUACACCAGGCAUCAGCAGAAUGGUUUAGUCUUCAUCUCUCCUGGGGCUAAAGAUGAUGAGCUCAUCAAGUCUCCGUAACAAGUGUGGAGAAUAGCCAAGAGGAAGAAAGGUUAGAUUAUUUCUUAUGUAGGGUAAAUAUUAAGCCCAAGUAAUUAUCAGCAGCCAUCAGCUGUGAAGUAGCACUUAGACUAUUUUUCAGAGAUUUAAUUGGCGAUUUGUGGCUUAAUAUGUGCAAAAACCUGACAUGUCUUGCUAAAAGAUGACACACAUUUGACUCCAGCAGUGUGGAAACUAGAUAUUUGAAGUUCCUUUCAGCCUGCCUUACAUUCUGACAUUUGAAAAAUUGCAUAUUAAAAAAAGUAUUAAAUAUUAAUAUUUAUCUUCUGAUGUGAAGCCCAACAUCAAAGCACAAUGGGAAUAGUUAUGUGAUGUUUAGCAAUCUGAAGUCAAACAUAUGCCACUUCUUAUCAGAAUCUGGCAAUGGGCUUGUGACAGUAUAGUUGUCUUCAACAAUCUGAGUUUCAAACUGGGGGUGAAGGGGGUGGGAUUGCCUUGGGGUGUAGUGUGGUAAGCCCAGAUUUUAGUGUUAAAGUAAAAUAGAGCAUCCUCUUCAGAACUGCACCCCGGGCUAUUGUGUAACCCUUGUACCUGCUCAAUGGGGCAUUUCAUCCCCUCCUUGCUGGUGGCCAGAGCUCCUGCUGCAGGCAGGGGCUGCAGGCAGGGCCCCUGUCCAGCUGCUCAUACAUAUUUUAUCCUCCUGAUAGGAUAUGUAUUCUCCUUUUCAUACCAUCCUAAUUCCCUUCCCUGCUAAUCUGCUAUUUAGUGACCUUGUGUUUGUUUAUUCUUCAGAAUAAGCUCUGCAGACCGAAGUGAUUUGCCCAAGGUCACCAAGGGAGACCCAGGACAGCCAGGCACAGACUCCAGCCCUGCUAAUGGUGCCUCGUUUGUUCCAGGGCUGUGCCAUUUUACACACGUCUGUGGAGACCUUAAUUUAGGACAGGUGAAUCUGCAGAGAGUGGAAGUCUGAACAAGAUCUGCACCAGCAUCCAAAAAUCAGAUGCUUGUCCAAAUUAUUCAGACCUCAGAAGUAUGUAAAACUGAGUGGAAUGGGGAUGAGAGCUUGUUUUCUCUCAAAAUUUCUCAUUUCACAAUUGGCCAACACAGAAAAAAGAAUGGGGAUUUUUGCUGCAUAUUGGCACUUUUAGUCUCAGCUUGACUAUAGCAAUGAUCUCUCUCCAGCCCUGCCCUGAUAAGUGCACAAUUAAGAACCUCAAAAAAGGUUUUUGAUUCUGAAAGUAGCUGUAUCCUGUGUCUCUGCUUUUUACAGAGAACUUGGUAUUGUGGCUUAAGGGGGAAGAUAUGGCUUAUGAAGUCAGUAGAGUAACGUGUUAUUCCACUGUUUUGUAGUAGGUCUUUUAGUAGUUUAACUGUUUCAAAGUGCUUAAUCUAUUUGUUCUUGCCACAGAAGUUCUUAUUACAGCUUUCCAUGCUAUUUGGUUUUUUUCCACGUAGGGUAAUCAACCAUUAAAAUAUCUAGAUAGGUGACUAGACAGCAAAAUUCACCUAUCUGAGACACUAACACAGAAAUUAGUGAAAAUCUGGUAUUUGAGACUUAAUAUUACCAACUUCUCAAAUUCUUUCCAGUGGAAGUUUUCAAUGUGCAAACCCCAGAGGAUCAGACCUGACAAAUGUAUAUUCUUCUGCAAGUAGCCAUGGGGGGUGACAAAAGUGAGGAUUAUCAUGAUAAAGGGCAUGUUUUGGUAUUUCAUUAUUCACUUACUGUGGUGUAUAUGUGGAAAAAGUGGAGCAAACAGGAAGAGUCUGCUAAGGGGAAGGGUUUUUUUCCCCGCAAAAUACAUAUGUAUCAAUAGUAAAUGCCUACAGUGGGUCCACCAAAAAUAGGUCUCUCUGAAGGAGAGAGGAGAAACAGCUCUACAAAAUCAUUCAAAGGCAGUUUAGACAGUUGUAUUCUGUUUUAUAGUUCUCUCUGUAAGUGUAUUUUACAUGGAUAUAGCCCCAUCUAUUACAUGAGCAAAGUCUAAACAGCUCUUCCAUUGACAGAUUAGGAGGAAUUUAGCCAAAUCAUUCCUCCAUAAAUGCUUUCUAUGUAGUCAUUCAAGAAGCUCUUCAGAUUCGUUCCAAAUUCAUUGGAAUAAUGAGUGUGAAGGCCUAAAUUCAUUCACUGAAUCAGCACCUGAAAACUCUUGUCUGCUAUCCCUCUUCUGAGCAAACACUCUCAGCCUCAACACCCUUGUUCUGGAUUCUUUUUUGCAGUUUGAAUGGUUUGUUACAGCAAUAAACAGGGAGUGCUUUGGAUUUCUGAUUGAGAUUGCAUUUGUUGCACAUAAUCUUUUUUAUAACACUUAUAUUUGUUAAUGAGUACAGCGGAGGAAUCUGUCAAAAUUAGUUAUGCAUUGAUGUUAAAUUCAAGUUUAGAAUAAGUGUGAAUUGUGUAGCCUGGUUAAAUUAUGAAUUGACAUUUAUCAUCUGCCAUCCUAACUCUUACAUGGAACAGAAGAGAUUAAGUAGAUCCAUACUUUAGACAAGAUUAAGCAAUGUUUUUCUGUUAAUCAAGUAGCUUAUGACCACCUUUUAAUAAAAAUCUUUGCUUUGAUCAGGAUACAGAGCAGCAAGCAGACUGCAGCUACCAGAGGAAAUAUGAUAGUAUUCUGCUUCCUUCAGCCUUUUAAAGUUGCAAGGAAGUGUUUCAUCUGCAGGCACGAAGGAGCAAAACCAAAUCUUCUGUCAUUAAGGUCAGUGAAACUACGUUUGUUUUCAUCUCCUUGACUGAAUGAAAUCCCAAUUCUUUGAUGACAAUUUGCUUUGAUGACUUGUGCUACCAAGUAAAAUGAUUCUGUCGUUUCACUGUCUUAUUUCCAUAAUAUUACUGUUUUGCUAGGAAAAGUAAAGUCUCUUACCUUUCUGCUGUUCUUGAAAAUAAUACUUUGGUUUUCACAAUGUAUUUCCAGAGGUCUCUCAACUGUUAUUUGUCAAUAAUUUUGUGUUUAGCAUUCUAGCAUUACGCAUAAAUAAUCAAGUUUACCUUAUUAGGGUAAUUUAACUUACCAUUCAAUCCUGUGUUUUUAGGGAAGGACAAUCUGCCUCUUUUAUUCAUGCAUAUAGUCUAUCCCUCUCUUUGAGGCAUUACAGACUCUGCCUUAUUGGCCAGAUUUUUCUCCUGCUUAAUACACUGAAUAGACCAUCCAAUCCCUCUCUUUCAAAACAUUUCUAGAUGGUGAUUUAGAGAGACAUUCUAGCUUGUUACAUAUUAACCAGCAAAUGUACCUAUCCAUUACAAUUACUGACUUUAUGGCAUUGCAAAAUUUCUAAGGGGGCCUGAAAAUACUUUUGUUAUCUCCAUUUCCCUCCCAGCUAUGCCAGAUUCUAUGCACAGAUCAUGUUCUCUCUGUUUUUCAGUUCUGCAUAUAUAGUCAUGUAGAUAAUGAGUUCAGGACAGGAUCUGCUUGGUGCAUUUUAUGCAGAAGACAUUCAGUUAAGUCAUUGGGGGGUCCCUUGUCCCACAUGCAGUUUUGAACCAUUUACUUCUGACCUCUUUUUAAGUUUUAUUCUGUAUAUUUAAGGAAAACCUUUGAAAAAUUAUGUUCUCUGUAUUCUUUCCAGGAAGGCUGACUUCCUUGUCUAUUUGGGAUGCAGAGAAGGGCAGGCAGGAAAUGAUGAAGCUUUGUAAUCAUAAGGGAACUUGAUAAUUGCUUCCAGCAAUAGAUUGGGUCAAGAACAAAAGUCAUAAGACAAUAUUGGGGUCCUUUGGGUACGUUUGCUGUGUUUGUUGUGUAGUUUAAAGCUAACUGAGCUAUAUUUAACCCAGAUAACUUAAGUACCUUCAGCACUCUAACCUGACAGCACAGAGCUCAGCUGUGCUGAUUAGAUGUACAUAAAAAGAAUGGCAGUGUCAGGUCUCUGCAGUGGAUGAUCCUAUCCAGCAAUAACAGAUCACAUGAAUCAUUGUACUGAUAUCUACCUUGGAUUUUAUGGUUAAAUUAACUAGGAUAAAUGCAAUAUACUGAAUCUCUGAAGGUCUGACAUUUUUUCUUAUGUACAAUCUGAAGCAGUACAUAUAUAUUCACAAAACUGUUUAUGUUUUAUAAUUCAACUGGACCGGUGUAGAUUGAUGUUGGCUUUUCCUCUGUUAUAUUCUUCAGACAGGAGAUUCAUGUCCUUCCCCGUACAAUCAAGUAUUUCAUGUUCCAAAUGGCGCUUGAGGUCUGCUGUUCCACUCUCUGCCUCUGCCUAGUAUAUAGGGCAAAAGAAAUAACAUGUAUUUUUUCAGAAUACAUGAAAAAAGAAAACAGCUGCUGUAACUGAUCUCCUUGUCUUAGCUCCUCGUUGCAAACAGAGCUGUUUAGCAAAAGUGACAGUGCCUAAAAUUCUAAUGCCAGCCUUCUUAAAAACUGAAUUGAAUUUCUGUCAAGUAUUGUCACACUUGCUAAACAGCUGUGUAUAUGAGGGUGACCUUGAAUAUCCAGAUUUGAGUCUCUGCUUUCACUGUUUCACUUCUGCUUUGAUAGGCUCUCCCAUGACCAAUUCUUCAGUGACAGUCCAGAUCUGUACAAAGAUCCAGAACACUGUACAAAGUUGCAGGAGCAGCAGAACCAGCUGUGGAGAGGGGCUGGAGAGUACAGAGCUCUGCAGUCAGCUCUGGACCCUUGUCCCUCUUGGGGACUAGGUACAAAUGGGAGAUGCUGGGGGACUGGGACUGUGGUGAUGUUGAUUUGGAGUUCUGAGCAGAUUGGGAGAUCUAUCAAAAAAAUACUCAUGUGAGUUACACAGUGUUUGCAAAGGACCACAUCAAGUUUUCACAGAGAAGCAAUGUACUUUCCUCAUAACCAGUCAGUAGUAGAGCACCUGCUCUUCUUGGAAGGAAUUUCAGCACAUGGCUGUUGCAAAUAGUAUUUUGUCAGGCUGGGCACAAGUCUACAGAUUCUGAUUUGGCAGUACUCACCGAGGUCUCCACCUGGAGAAGCCAGGCAUAGGAAACAGCAGGUCCGAAAUCCCUCCUGAUGUUGCUCAGGGGGCUGACCCUGAUGUGUGUCCUAUGGAGGGCAGGAGGCUCAGGCAACUCCACCCUGCCACUGCCACCAGGAGAGCUCUGCUUGUUUCCAGGCA